UGAUCCUGGCUCAGAACGAACGCUGGCGGCAGGCCUAAAACAUGCAAGUCGAACGAACCUUCGGGUUAGUGGCGCACGGGUGAGUAACGCGUGGGAACGUACCCUCUGGUGCGGAAUAACAGUUGGAAACGACUGCUAAUACCGCAUAAUAUCUCCGGAUCAAAGAUUUAUCGCCAGAGGAUCGGCCCGCGUUAGAUUAGAUAGUUGGUGGGGUAAUGGCCUACCAAGUCGACGAUCUAUAGCUGGUUUGAGAGGAUGAUCAGCCACACUGGUACUGAGACACGGACCAGACUCCUACGGGAGGCAGCAGUUAGGAAUAUUGGACAAUGGGCGCAAGCCUGAUCCAGCCAUGCCGCGUGAGUGAAGACGGCCUUAGGGUUGUAAAGCUCUUUCAGAUGUGAGGAUAAUGACCGUAACAUCAGAAGAAGCCCCGGCUAAAUUCGUGCCAGCAGCCGCGGUAAUACGAAUGGGGCGAGCGUUGUUCGGAAUCACUGGGCGUAAAGCGUGCGUAGGCGGAUAUGAAAGUCAGAAGUGAAAGCCCAGGGCUUAACCCUGGAAUUGCUUUUGAAACUUCAUAUCUAGAGUUCUGGAGAGGCAAGGGGAAUUCCGAGUGUAGAGGUGAAAUUCGCAGAUAUUCGGAGGAACACCAGUGGCGUAGGCGCCUUGCUGGACAGAUACUGACGCUGAGGCACGAAAGCGUGGGGAGCAAACAGGAUUAGAUACCCUGGUAGUCCACGCCGUAAACGAUGUGUGCUAGUUGUCGGGCCCUUAGGGUUCGGUGACGCAGCUAACGCAUUAAGCACACCGCCUGGGGAGUACGGUCGCAAGAUUAAAACUCAAAGGAAUUGACGGGGACCCGCACAAGCGGUGGAGCAUGUUCAUUAAUUCGAUGCAACGCGAAGAACCUUACCUACCCUUGACAUCCUGAUCGCGGUUACUAGAGAUAGUUUCCUUCAGUUCGGCUGGAUCAGUGACAGGUGCUGCAUGGCUGUCGUCAGCUCGUGUCGUGAGAUGUUGGGUUAAGUCCCGCAACGAGCGCAACCCCUAUCGUCUGUUGCCAUCAUUUAGUUGGGCACUCUGACGAGACUGCCGGUGAUAAACCGGAGGAAGGCGGGGACGACGUCAAGUCAUCAUGGCCCUUACGACCAGGGCUACACACGUGCUACAAUGGGAAGGACAAAGAGCCGCGAAGCCGCGAGGUGUAGCUAAUCUCAUAAACCUUUUCGCAGUCCGGAUUGGAGUCUGCAGCUCGACUCCAUGAAGUCGGAAUCGCUAGUAAUCGUAGAUCAGAAUGCUACGGUGAAUACGUUCCCGGGUCUUGUACACACCGCCCGUCAUACCAUGGGAGUGGGUUGCACCAGAAGUGGCUAGUCUAACUUAGUGAGGACGGUCACCACGGUGUGAUUCAUGACUGGGGUAAAGUCGUAACAAGGUAACC
RNAcentral lists this ribosomal RNA (1438 nucleotides) under uncultured marine bacterium. RNAcentral's name for it is "bacterial SSU rRNA". It matches the Rfam family "Bacterial small subunit ribosomal RNA". The record is from RNAcentral.